UUGCCCUGCGCCAGACGAAGCUGGUCAAUGAUCCAGGGUCCGAACAUGAACACGAACAAUGCACCGGUGACCAUCGCGCCGCCGGUGCGGAAGGUGAUGUAGCGGAACACAUUGAUGCCGGGGAUGGUGCCGGCCAAUUCAGUGAGCCAAUAAAACAUUCCAAUUGCCUUAGUGUGUGGCGCCGUCGAGCGCGGCUUUUUCUGGAAAACGCUUCUGCAACGCGGUCACAAUCAAUUUCAUAC
Molecule: unclassified non-coding RNA, 242 nt
Filed under: Hevea brasiliensis (rubber tree)
Lineage: Eukaryota; Viridiplantae; Streptophyta; Magnoliopsida; Malpighiales; Euphorbiaceae
Source: RNAcentral